GAUGAACGCUGGCGGCGUGCCUAAUACAUGCAAGUCGAGCGAACGGACGAGAAGCUUGCUUCUCUGAUGUUAGCGGCGGACGGGUGAGUAACACGUGGAUAACCUACCUAUAAGACUGGGAUAACUUCGGGAAACCGGAGCUAAUACCGGAUAAUAUUUUGAACCGCAUGGUUCAAAAGUGAAAGACGGUCUUGCUGUCACUUAUAGAUGGAUCCGCGCUGCAUUAGCUAGUUGGUAAGGUAACGGCUUACCAAGGCAACGAUGAAUAGCCGACGUGAGAGGGUGAGCGGCCACACUGGAACUGGGACACGGUCCAGACUCCUACGGGAGGCAGCAGUAGGGAAUCUUCCGCAAUGGGCGAAAGCCUGACGGAGCAACGCCGCGUGAGUGAUGAAGGUCUUAGGAUCGUAAAACUCUGUUAUUAGGGAAGAACAUAUGUGUAAGUAACUGUGCACAUCUUGACGGUACCUAAUCAGAAAGCCACGGCUAACUACGUG
This 497-nucleotide ribosomal RNA is filed under the name uncultured bacterium. RNAcentral's name for it is "partial 16S ribosomal RNA". It matches the Rfam family "Bacterial small subunit ribosomal RNA", at positions 28 to 507 of the family's 1533-position model. The record is from RNAcentral.